Molecule: non-coding RNA, 18 nt
Filed under: Arabidopsis thaliana (thale cress)
Lineage: Eukaryota; Viridiplantae; Streptophyta; Magnoliopsida; Brassicales; Brassicaceae
Source: RNAcentral
UAUUGUUUAGUGCCCAUC